CCUACGGGAGGCAGCAGUGGGGAAUAUUGGGCAAUGGGCGCAAGCCUGACGCAGCAACGCCGCGUGUAGGAAGAAGGCUUUCGGGUUGUAAACUUCUUUUCUGGGGGACGAAGGAGGUGACGGUACCUAAGGAAUAAGCCACGGCUAACUCCGUGCCAGCAGCCGCGGUAAUACGUAGGUGGCAAGCGUUAACCGGAGUUACUGGGCGUAAAGGGCGGGUAGGCGGGGAGUCAAGUCAGAUGUGAAAACCCAGGGCUCAACCCUGAGACUGCAUUCGAAACUGUCAUGCUUGAGUGCUGUAGAGGGAAGCAGAAUUCCAGGUGUAGCGGUGAAAUGCGUAGAGAUAUGGAGGAAUACCAGUGGCGAAGGCGG
This 372-nucleotide ribosomal RNA is filed under the name uncultured bacterium. RNAcentral's name for it is "partial 16S ribosomal RNA". It matches the Rfam family "Bacterial small subunit ribosomal RNA", at positions 338 to 724 of the family's 1533-position model. The record is from RNAcentral.